Molecule: long non-coding RNA, 792 nt
Filed under: Nicotiana benthamiana
Lineage: Eukaryota; Viridiplantae; Streptophyta; Magnoliopsida; Solanales; Solanaceae
Description: long non-coding RNA (NBEN_LNC007608)
Source: RNAcentral
UUGUAGCGGAGGACUCUUGGACACUGCCUUUGAAUUUAUCAUAAAAAACAAGGGCCUCACUACAGAAGCAAACUAUCCAUACAGGGGAGAAGAUGGUGUCUGCAACAAGAAAAAAUCAGCUCUUUCAGCAGCCAAAAUUACAGGUAUAAGCCCAUAAAAAUAUAAAAGAACAAAACUCUCAAUUGGGUGAGUUGGGUUAAUUAUGACCUAUAUUAUUAAUAUAGAGCCCGGUAAUUAAAAUUCCGAACCUGUUAAUUUGAAAUUCUGAUUUUGUCUCUGAUUAUAGGAUAUGAAGAUGUGCCAGCGAACAGUGAGAAGGCUCUAUUGCAGGCAGUAGCUAAUCAACCAGUGUCGGUGGCAAUAGAUGGGAGUAGCUUCGAUUUCCAGUUCUAUUCAAGUGGAGUAUUCGGUGGAUCAUGUAGCACUUGGCUUAACCAUGCUGUUACAGCAGUAGGAUAUGGUGCAACAAGUGAUGGUACAAAAUAUUGGAUUAUAAAGAAUUCAUGGGGCAGUAAAUGGGGUGACAGUGGAUAUAUGCGCAUCAAAAGGGAUGUUCAUGAGAAAGAAGGCCUUUGUGGACUUGCUAUGGAUGCUUCUUAUCCCACUGCCUAAAAGGAAAUUAAUAAUCCUUUGGUUUUUUCAGUAAUUUUCAACCAUGUUUAUGUAUGUGAAUAUUGUGUUGUGGGUUUGAGGUAGACUUGGAUUAGACUGUCCAUAUAUAGUUAAAGCAUGCGCUUAAAAGGUGACAGCUUCAAAAUUGUAAUUUUAUGCUCAUCAUGUGAAUUAUAAUGG